CGGCGGACGGGUGAGUAACACGUGGGUAACCUACCUAUAAGACUGGGACAACUUCGGGAAACCGGAGCUAAUACCGGAUAAGAUAUGAACCGCAUGGUUCGAUAGUGAAAGAUGGUUUUGCUAUCACUUAUAGAUGGACCCGCGCCGUAUUAGCUAGUUGGUGAGGUAACGGCUCACCAAGGCAACGAUACGUAGCCGACCUGAGAGGGUGAUCGGCCACACUGAACUGAGACACGGUCCAGACUCCUACGGGAGGCAGCAGAC
Molecule: ribosomal RNA, 264 nt
Filed under: uncultured Staphylococcus sp.
Lineage: Bacteria; Bacillati; Bacillota; Bacilli; Caryophanales; Staphylococcaceae
Description: partial 16S ribosomal RNA
Rfam family: Bacterial small subunit ribosomal RNA
Source: RNAcentral